GUGUUGCUUAUUACGAGCACGCCAAAGUCGUUGUUGAAUUUUAUUUGUAUAUAAAGACUUCCUUUCACAUGUUGUAUAAUACCACUGCGUCAUGUGAGAACAGUUCAUAGGGUAAGGAAAGAGUAAUAAGCCAAUAACGGCAAUCACUAAUGAUCCUUUUCCGUAGGUGAACCUGCGGAAGGAUCAUUAGUGAUUGCCUUUAUAGGCUUAUAACUAUAUCCACUUACACCUGUGAACUGUUCUACUACUUGACGCAAGUCGAGUAUUUUUACAAACAAUGUGUAAUGAACGUCGUUUUAUUAUAACAAAAUAAAACUUCCAAAAAAGCGGUCCUU
RNAcentral lists this ribosomal RNA (335 nucleotides) under uncultured fungus. RNAcentral describes it as "partial 18S ribosomal RNA". The record is from RNAcentral. Lineage: Eukaryota; Fungi.